GGCCGCGGGGAAUUGGAUUCAGGCCUAACACAUGCAACUCGAGCGGUAGAGAGAAGCUUGCUUCUCUUGAGAAAAAAGGACGGGUGAGUAAUGCCUAGGAAUCUGCCUGGUAGUGGGGGAUAACGUUCGGAAACGGACGCUAAUACCGCAUACGUCCUACGGGAGAAAGCAGGGGACCUUCGGGCCUUGCGCUAUCAGAUGAGCCUAGGUCGGAUUAGCUAGUUGGUGAGGUAAUGGCUCACCAAGGCGACGAUCCGUAACUGGUCUGAGAGGAUGAUCAGUCACACUGGAACUGAGACACGGUCCAGACUCCUACGGGAGGCAGCAGUGGGGAAUAUUGGACAAUGGGCGAAAG
Molecule: ribosomal RNA, 355 nt
Filed under: uncultured bacterium
Lineage: Bacteria
Description: bacterial SSU rRNA
Rfam family: Bacterial small subunit ribosomal RNA
Source: RNAcentral